UACGUAGGGUGCAAGCGUUGUCCGGAAUUAUUGGGCGUAAAGAGCUUGUAGGCGGUUGUCGCGUCUGCUGUGAAUUCGGGCUCAACCCGAACUUGCAGUGGGUACGGGCAGACUAGAGUGUGGUAGGGAGACUGGAAUUCCCGGUGUAGCGGUGAAAUGCGCAGAUAUCGGGAGGAACACCAGUAGCGAAGGCGGCUCGCUGGGCCAUUCCGUGACGCUGAGACGCGAA
Molecule: ribosomal RNA, 229 nt
Filed under: uncultured bacterium
Lineage: Bacteria
Description: partial 16S ribosomal RNA
Rfam family: Bacterial small subunit ribosomal RNA
Source: RNAcentral